RNAcentral lists this ribosomal RNA (539 nucleotides) under uncultured bacterium. RNAcentral's name for it is "bacterial SSU rRNA". It matches the Rfam family "Bacterial small subunit ribosomal RNA", at positions 777 to 1314 of the family's 1533-position model. The record is from RNAcentral.
AAUAGAUACCCUGGUAGUCCACGCCGUAAACGAUGAGUGCUAAGUGUUAGGGGGUUUCCGCCCCUUAGUGCUGCAGCUAACGCAUUAAGCACUCCGCCUGGGGAGUACGGCCGCAAGGCUGAAACUCAAAGGAAUUGACGGGGGCCCGCACAAGCGGUGGAGCAUGUGGUUUAAUUCGAAGCAACGCGAAGAACCUUACCAGGUCUUGACAUCUCCUGACCGCCCUGGAGACAGGGUCUUCCCUUCGGGGACAGGAUGACAGGUGGUGCAUGGUUGUCGUCAGCUCGUGUCGUGAGAUGUUGGGUUAAGUCCCGCAACGAGCGCAACCCUUGUCCUUAGUUGCCAGCAUUCAGUUGGGCACUCUAAGGAGACUGCCGGCUAAAAGUCGGAGGAAGUGGGGAUGACGUCAAAUCAUCAUGCCCCUUAUGACCUGGGCUACACACGUGCUACAAUGGGCGGUACAGAGGGCCGCGAACCCGCGAGGGGGGAGCCGAAUCCCAAAAAACCGGCUCUCAGUUCGGAUUGCAGGCUGCAACUCG